Molecule: ribosomal RNA, 245 nt
Filed under: uncultured bacterium
Lineage: Bacteria
Description: partial 16S ribosomal RNA
Rfam family: Bacterial small subunit ribosomal RNA
Source: RNAcentral
UACGUAGGGUGCGAGCGUUAUCCGGAAUUAUUGGGCGUAAAGGGUGCGUAGGCGGUUGGAUAAGUUAGGUGUGAAAGCUAUAGGCUCAACCUGUAGUUGCGCCUAAAACUAUCCAGCUAGAGGAUACUAGAGGAAAGCGGAACUCAUGGUGUAGCGGUGAAAUGCGUAGAUAUCAUGAGGAACACCAGUAGCGAAGGCGGCUUUCUGGGGUAUUUCUGACGCUGAGGCACGAAAGCAUGGGGAGC